GACGAACGCUGGCGGCGUGCUUAACACAUGCAAGUCGAACGGAAAGGCCCUGCUCUUGUGGGGGGCUCGAGUGGCGAACGGGUGAGUAACACGUGAGUAACCUGCCCUUGACUUGGGGAUAACUUCAGGAAACUGGGGCUAAUACCGGAUAGGAGCUCCUGCUGCAUGGGGGGGGUUGGAAAGUUUCGGCGGUUGGGGAUGGACUCGCGGCUUAUCAGCUUGUGGGGGGGGUAGUGGCUUACCAAGGCUUUGACGGGUAGCCGGCCUGAGAGGGUGACCGGCCACAUUGGGACUGAGGUACGGCCCAGACUCCUACGGGAGGCAGCAGUGGGGAAUAUUGCACAAUGGGCGGAAGCCUGAUGCAGCAACGCCGCGUGCGGGAUGGCGGCCUUCGGGUUGUAGACCGCUUUCGCCUGUGACGAAGCGUGAGUGACGGUAAUGGGUAGAGUAGCACCGGCUAACUACGUG
Molecule: ribosomal RNA, 468 nt
Filed under: uncultured bacterium
Lineage: Bacteria
Description: partial 16S ribosomal RNA
Rfam family: Bacterial small subunit ribosomal RNA
Source: RNAcentral